AUAAGCAGCACCAGGAUAGUGUCUUAAAGGAUCAGUAUAUCCGGAGGAAUAUAACGGUAUUUGUCCCAAGAACGACUCCUGUCCACCGGCCAGAGUCACAGGGAAAGUUGAAUUUACAAAAUACGAACUCAUUGGGAGGACUCAGUUCAGGUUUUAUGCAUGGGAAUGAUGGCACAAAGAUGACGAAUCCUGGCCACUUCUUUACAAACAGAACUUGGCUUCAAUCAAGGGCUUCAAAAAUAGUUGAGAAAUGACCCACGGGACACUAAAUCACGGCGCCACGUAGAAGAACUGUGCUCGGCCGGAAACCUAAGCAAAAGGCGCAUCGAUAUGGAGGAAGAGCUGUAGUGCGUUGACCCAGUCUGAGACCAGAGAGGAAACGCGUGUCAGACACUUUUUGUCAAGUGUACUGUAACUCUCCUUAGCCUCUCGAGUUUGCUGCCUGAUACUGAACAUAUGUGAGUAUUAUAAUAUUCCUAAUUGUGUUACUACUGUUAGAAUGUAAAGAUGAUUACUUCUUUAAUGCAUCAUGCUCUUGUAUUUAUGUGUACAAAUUGUGUACAAAUAUUUUUUACCAGCAAUACAUCUACAAGUUUUCCUGCGUACAGGACUAGUAUAAUAUUUUAGCCUAAGAAGUUCUAAUUUACAGAAUAUUUCCAUGAUAAUUGAAGUGUACGUUUGUCUUACUGUUUAUUGUAUGUACCCUACAUAUGGAAUGUAUAUUUGGAUUUUGUAAAUAAAUAAAUGUUGAUUCUGACGUGAA
Long non-coding RNA from Clupea harengus (Atlantic herring), 763 nucleotides. RefSeq lists it as uncharacterized. Lineage: Eukaryota; Metazoa; Chordata; Actinopteri; Clupeiformes; Clupeidae. The transcript is spliced from 2 exons. The record is from RefSeq and is a predicted model, not a curated record.